UACGUAGGGGGCGAGCGUUGUCCGGAUUUAUUGGGCGUAAAGAGCUCGUAGGCGGCUUAGCAAGUCAGGUGUGAAACCUCCAGGCUCAACCUGGAGACGCCACUUGAUACUGCUAUGGCUUGAGUUUGGUAGGGGAAGACGGAAUUCCUGGUGUAGCGGUGAAAUGCGCAGAUAUCAGAGAGGAACACCGAUGGCGAAGGCAGUCUUCUGGGCCAAAACUGACGCUGAGGAGCGAAAGCGUGGGGAGCGAACAGG
Molecule: ribosomal RNA, 255 nt
Filed under: uncultured bacterium
Lineage: Bacteria
Description: partial 16S ribosomal RNA
Rfam family: Bacterial small subunit ribosomal RNA
Source: RNAcentral